Molecule: ribosomal RNA, 819 nt
Filed under: activated sludge bacterium GC_R2A_S_9
Lineage: Bacteria
Description: bacterial SSU rRNA
Rfam family: Bacterial small subunit ribosomal RNA
Source: RNAcentral
GAUGAACCAGGUGCUUGCACUUGGGGAUUAGUGGCGAACGGGUGAGUAACACGUGAGCAACCUGCCCCUGACUCUGGGAUAAGCGCUGGAAACGGCGUCUAAUACUGGAUAUGUGACGUGGCCGCAUGGUCUGCGUUUGGAAAGAUUUUUCGGUUGGGGAUGGGCUCGCGGCCUAUCAGCUUGUUGGUGAGGUAAUGGCUCACCAAGGCGUCGACGGGUAGCCGGCCUGAGAGGGUGACCGGCCACACUGGGACUGAGACACGGCCCAGACUCCUACGGGAGGCAGCAGUGGGGAAUAUUGCACAAUGGGCGGAAGCCUGAUGCAGCAACGCCGCGUGAGGGAUGACGGCCUUCGGGUUGUAAACCUCUUUUAGCAGGGAAGAAGCGAGAGUGACGGUACCUGCAGAAAAAGCGCCGGCUAACUACGUGCCAGCAGCCGCGGUAAUACGUAGGGCGCAAGCGUUAUCCGGAAUUAUUGGGCGUAAAGAGCUCGUAGGCGGUCUGUCGCGUCUGCUGUGAAAUCCCGAGGCUCAACCUCGGGCUUGCAGUGGGUACGGGCAGACUAGAGUGCGGUAGGGGAGAUUGGAAUUCCUGGUGUAGCGGUGGAAUGCGCAGAUAUCAGGAGGAACACCGAUGGCGAAGGCAGAUCUCUGGGCCGUAACUGACGCUGAGGAGCGAAAGGGUGGGGAGCAAACAGGCUUAGAUACCCUGGUAGUCCACCCCGUAAACGUUGGGAACUAGUUGUGGGGUCCUUUCCACGGAUUCCGUGACGCAGCUAACGCAUUAAGUUCCCCGCCUGGGGAGUACGGCCGCAAGGCU